CCUACGGGCGGCUGCAGUGAGGAAUAUUGGUCAAUGGGCGGGAGCCUGAACCAGCCAAGUCGCGUGAGGGAAGACGGCCCUAUGGUUUGUAAACUUCUUUAGUCGGGGAGCAAUUCCGUGCACGUGUGGCCGUAGGGAGAGUACCUGACGAAUAAGCAUCGGCUAACUCCGUGCCAGCAGCCGCGGUAAUACGGAGGAUGCCAGCGUUAUCCGGAUUUAUUGGGUUAAAAGGGUGCGUAGGCGGAUUAUCAAGUCAGCGGUAAAAAUUCGGGGCUCAACCCUGUCGUGCCGUUGAAACUGGGGAUCUUGAGUGGGCGAGAAGUAUGCGGAAUGCGUGGUGUAGCGGUGAAAUGCAUAGAUAUCACGCAGAACUCCGAUUGCGAAGGCAGCAUACCGGCGCCCGACUGACGCUGAGGCACGAAAGCGUGGGGAUCGAACAGGAUUAGAUACCCUGGUAGUC
RNAcentral lists this ribosomal RNA (460 nucleotides) under uncultured bacterium. RNAcentral describes it as "partial 16S ribosomal RNA". It matches the Rfam family "Bacterial small subunit ribosomal RNA", at positions 338 to 795 of the family's 1533-position model. The record is from RNAcentral.